Caenorhabditis elegans is the source of this 76-nucleotide non-coding RNA. NCBI's taxonomy places the organism in Eukaryota, Metazoa, Nematoda, Chromadorea, Rhabditida, Rhabditidae. The record is from Ensembl.
CCUGCUUAGUAUAGUGGCUAGUACUCUGAGUUGUGCGGAGGGCGUGGUUCGAUUCCAGCAGCAGGCAUUGAUACUU